Molecule: unclassified non-coding RNA, 498 nt
Filed under: Hevea brasiliensis (rubber tree)
Lineage: Eukaryota; Viridiplantae; Streptophyta; Magnoliopsida; Malpighiales; Euphorbiaceae
Source: RNAcentral
GCUCACUGUACUGCCAGUGAAGUUCAUCUCCGACGAUCUCAUCUCCGGCGACUUCUCUAUCGCGCCGAUCUCAUCUCCAGCGACUUCGAAAACGCGCCGAUCUCUGUUGAAGUUGGUUGAAUCAAGAGAAGACAAAAGAUGCCUCUAUAUGACUGUAUGCUGUUACUGAAACCCCAUGUAAAGAAGGAGGCUAUGAUGGACCUCAUUGCAAAGGUUGGGAAGCAUGUCUAUCGAAAAAAUGGGGUCCUUACAGAUUUAAAGUCAUUUGGAACUGUUCAACUGGGUUAUGGCAUUAAGAAACUAGAUGGAAGAUACUAUCAGGGUCAACUGAUGCAAAUGACAGUGAUGACACCACCCAGCUUAAACAAUGAGCUGCAUUACCUGAACAAAGAAGACCGCUUGCUCCGUUGGCUUUUGGUUAAGCAUCGAGACAUCAAAUUUGGAUUUGACUUGUUGGGUGAAGAUGAUGAUGGCAAGGCUGAACUAAGCAAGUUCAGG